RNAcentral lists this small RNA (449 nucleotides) under Xeropilidium dennisii. RNAcentral describes it as "eukaryotic LSU rRNA". The stretch from base 122 to 275 matches the Rfam family "5.8S ribosomal RNA". Lineage: Eukaryota; Fungi; Ascomycota; Leotiomycetes; Chaetomellales; Chaetomellaceae. The record is from RNAcentral.
GGAGGGAUCAUUACAGAGUUGCCUUCGGGCAUUCUCCCGUUCUUGUUGUUUGACCAUGUUGCCUUGCCUUCGGGCAGGAUUAUUCUGAAUUAGUGUUGUCUGAGUAUAACAUCAACGUUAAAACUUUCAACAACGGAUCUCUUGGUUCUGGCAUCGAUGAAGAACGCAGCGAAAUGCGAUAAGUAAUGUGAAUUGCAGAAUUCCGUGAAUCAUCGAAUCUUUGAACGCACAUUGCGCCCUUUGGUAUUCCGAAGGGCAUGCCUGUUCGAGCGUCAUUACACUAUCAGCCUCGCUGGUGUUGGGUCUGCGUAGCAUUCCUUAAAAACAGUGGUGAUAAUCGUCUACUCACACGUAGUAAACUAUCGUGACGGCUAGGCGAGGACUCCCCAGAACUCACUAUAUUGUUUGACCUCGGAUCAGGUAGGGAUACCCGCUGAACUUAAGCAUAU